UACAGAGGGUGCAAGCGUUGCUCGGAAUUACUGGGCGUAAAGCGUAGGUAGGCGGCCUUUUAAGUGGGGUGUGAAAGCCCUGGGCUCAACCCAGGAACUGCGCUCCAGACUGGAAGGCUUGAAUGUCGGAGAGGGUGGUGGAAUUCCCAGUGUAGAGGUGAAAUUCGUAGAUAUUGGGAGGAACACCAGUGGCGAAGGCGGCCACCUGGACGAACAUUGACGCUGAGCUACGAAAGCGUGGGGAGCAAACAGG
RNAcentral lists this ribosomal RNA (253 nucleotides) under uncultured bacterium. RNAcentral describes it as "partial 16S ribosomal RNA". It matches the Rfam family "Bacterial small subunit ribosomal RNA", at positions 524 to 776 of the family's 1533-position model. The record is from RNAcentral.